This is a long non-coding RNA of Solanum pennellii, 666 nucleotides long. RefSeq lists it as uncharacterized. Lineage: Eukaryota; Viridiplantae; Streptophyta; Magnoliopsida; Solanales; Solanaceae. The transcript is spliced from 2 exons. The record is from RefSeq and is a predicted model, not a curated record.
CCCCGGACCCAGGCCAGGGGGCGCGUCGCUCCCCUGGACCCCCGACUCGCUGACCGGUCAGCGAGACCCCGUUCUUUCUGCUGUAACGGGUCCGAUUCAAGGCAUUCAACAGAUUUUAUAGUGUAAUAGUAUUCUAGAGUUUUGGGUUUGCUGUUUUGGAACUUGUAUUUUCGCCGAAAUUCCUUGUGUUGUGGUGGAUAGCUCAUCCAAGCUCGUUCGUCCCGGAACGCUGGCCGGAAAAAGUCCAAUAUGGACUCGUCUCCUUAUUCUUGCACUUCCAAGUUGAGCCAUAUAGGCUCGAUCUUCGCUUUUCCUAUUUCUCGAGUCAGCCCCAUAUAUCUGAAAGCUGUUACAGGCUCUAGAGACCCAACGACUUGCUGGAAAUUAGUUGACAAAUGUUCAAAAGCCCAAGAAAUGGGCUGUAUACAUGAAGUAUACAACAUUUAUACACUGAUAUACAGGUUCAUGGCAACAAAUGUGUGGCCAGAAGUGCAAAAAUACAGAGAUGAGAUAAACUACAGGUUUUCGGAAGCAGGAGAUACAUGCAAAGAGCUGAUAUACACGUAAAUAUACACUAAUAUACAAUUGAUGUAUACAAAAACAGAAAUUUGGUUAAAGACCAAAAUUUGCAGCGAAAUUGGCCCCAGAGGGGGCCCAAUUUCAUCA